UACGUAGGGUGCAAGCGUUGUCCGGAAUUAUUGGGCGUAAAGAGCUCGUAGGCGGUCUGUCACGUCGGCUGUGAAAACCCGAGGCUCAACCUCGGGCCUGCAGUCGAUACGGGCAAACUAGAGUACUGCAGGGGAGACUGGAAUUCCUGGUGUAGCGGUGAAAUGCGCAGAUAUCAGGAAGAACACCGGUGGCGAAGGCGGCUCUCUGGGCCUUACCUGACGCUGAGGAGCGAAAGCGUGGGUAGCGAACAGG
RNAcentral lists this ribosomal RNA (253 nucleotides) under uncultured bacterium. RNAcentral describes it as "partial 16S ribosomal RNA". It matches the Rfam family "Bacterial small subunit ribosomal RNA", at positions 524 to 776 of the family's 1533-position model. The record is from RNAcentral.